ACGCUCGACACCUACGGGAGGCAGCAGUUGGGAAUAUUGGACAAUGGAGGGAACUCUGAUCCAGUGACGCCGCGUGAAGGAAGAAGGUCUUCGGAUUGUAAACUUAUUUUAUCAGGGAAGAAAGAAAUGACAGUACCUGAAGAAGAAGGACCGGCUAACUACGUGCCAGCACGCCGUGGUAAUCUGAGGCGGGUCUGGCGAAGGC
This 205-nucleotide ribosomal RNA is filed under the name uncultured bacterium. RNAcentral describes it as "partial 16S ribosomal RNA". It matches the Rfam family "Bacterial small subunit ribosomal RNA", at positions 328 to 540 of the family's 1533-position model. The record is from RNAcentral.